This 234-nucleotide long non-coding RNA is filed under the name Manihot esculenta (cassava). RNAcentral's name for it is "long non-coding RNA (MESC_LNC002116)". The record is from RNAcentral. Lineage: Eukaryota; Viridiplantae; Streptophyta; Magnoliopsida; Malpighiales; Euphorbiaceae.
UCCGGUUUCUUGGCUGACAGUUCUGGGGUGGUUGAAGGUAGGCUGAGGUUCGUUGGUCUGGGGUUCUUCUACCACUGGUGACACGUUUGCGGGGGUGCUAAGGCCCCGUUGUUGCAUUAUCUGCCCCAACCAGUGGGCGGUGCUCUGUAGUUGGAGGGCCAUGGUUUGGAGGUCUUGGUUGGAUAAGGUGGCCGCGGAAGCAUUCCCUGCCAAGCUUGGCGAGGAGUUGAAAGG